This 201-nucleotide long non-coding RNA is filed under the name Panax ginseng (ginseng). RNAcentral describes it as "long non-coding RNA (PGIN_LNC010417)". Lineage: Eukaryota; Viridiplantae; Streptophyta; Magnoliopsida; Apiales; Araliaceae. The record is from RNAcentral.
UUCGAUCCCUCUCAAACGUUAUCAGAUGUAAACUCUGCUCUAAAUACUCUGCAGAAUGUGGAGUCACAGCAACAGAAAUACUGGGGGAAUCAACCAGAGCUACUUAUAAACUAGUAAAUAGCUCAUCCUUAAUGGGAGAAUCAGGAUACUCUAUAGGCUCCCCAUCAUCAAAAUCAAUACUCGGCUUUCAGGAUACAACCC